AAGUGAGUCGGCGGAAGUGGGAGCGCGGCAAGCGGAUGGAGCCAGCGAGAAACACAUAGCCAGGGUUCUGUCGCAUGACCCCCGACGGCACCUGCUCCCCAUCAGCAGCAUCAUACUCCGAUGGAUAAACUGAGGGCUCAGUGGGUCAUGACCUGCCCAGAGUCAUGGAGGGAGUGAGAGGCAGAGCCAGGAUGAGCUCCCAGGCCCUGAAACUUCUGGGCCAGUGGCCUACACACAGAGCUUCCCACCCUUCCUCAUUGGGUUUCUGCAAGCCCUCCCCACCCCAGCACUCUGCAGGGCCUGGGAAGUGAACCAGCUGGGAGGAUUCUUAGAGAAGAAAAGUGCUGAUUUAAGAGAAACUGCAUUAUUUGUGAAAUACAAAAUUCAUCUUGUGGGUGUAAGAGAUGCCUUCGUGGACGGAUGAAGCUCCUGGUACUAAGUAGCAGGAGUGCAGUGAAGCUGCUGUGUUCUCCAGCUCGUAGUUAAGGGCCAGUCAGGAUCAGACAUCUUGCCCUGAUGGAAAAGAAGAUGAACAGAUACCUCCUGACCUGGAUAGCAAUUAAUUCUGGGGACCUAGAUCCCCAAGGACUUUAGGAUGAGGCAGCAGUUUGGAUUUAGGAUCAACAUGGUAUUUAAAAUAUAAAAGCAUUGUAGUGUUGGGGAAGCAUCAUUUAAAAGAACUUGUGGGGUCCCUGUCAGGCCCCUCUUGAGACAGGCCAGCCCCACAGAAGAGAAGGCCUAGGGCUGGCUCCCUAGGGUUGUGAGAAACUCCAGAACAGUGUUGACUUCUUUCUUCCCCUAGGGUCACACCAGCAUGUAGCAUGAUGCCUUGCACACAGUAGGUGCUCAGUAAACACUUUUGGACCACUGAAUGCAAUGACCAAUGGAUAAAAACAUUGUUCUUCCCUUGACCAGAUAAGACCCGCUUCCCUGGGCGUCCACAGGCCGCUGGUGAUGCACACUCUUCUCUGUGUGGCCUCUGCCUGCCGGGGGAAGCCUUGUGACCAGUUUCUCCCCGCUGAGUCAAGGGAGAAUGAGGGGGAGCAUGAACAUUUGCUUGUUUCCCUUAUGGCUUCUGAAUCUUUAUUUUAUUUUUUUUAAUGAAAAUGUCUACUUGAAUUUAGGUAAGGAAGACCUUGCUCUUAGUUUUUGAAUUUUGAACUAGAAAAAAAAAAAAGGUCUUUCAAUGAACACUAGCAGAACAGUCUAAGCAAUCAUGAUAAAGACCUAAUUCCUGCCUCUUUCUCCUGCUCUGAUGGAGCUGAUGACAGCACAAAUGGGAGAGGGAGAAUGUAGCAAGGACACUGAAGGACAGAGAGUUGUCCAAGCCACCAGGAAGGUGAAAGUGGGAAUUCAUUUUCUGUGCCAUUGGGUGGUUCCUUAGGAAAAAACGUAGACAAAGAAAAAUAUUGUAUUAUUUGUGGAAAUCAAGUUCGUAUUGCAGGUGUAAGAAAUGUCUUUGUGGGUUGACAGCAUUUAUUGAACAUGAGCCUUUAUUUUUGGAGCUCCUCCAACGUACCAUGCACUGUCACCUUAACAGUUCCUCACAGUGACCCCAUAGAGUCAAGAGUCAACUGCAUUUUUGCAGAAGCGAGGCUCAGAGAGGUUGAGGGUUGUCCUAGGUAUCCAGGUAGCGAGCAACAGAGCAAGAAUUUGAACUCGGGUUGUAACUCUUCAUUGUAUGUGUCAACUUGACUGUGCAAAGUGAUGCCCA
Long non-coding RNA from Homo sapiens (human), 1714 nucleotides. NCBI's taxonomy places the organism in Eukaryota, Metazoa, Chordata, Mammalia, Primates, Hominidae. The record is from Ensembl.